UGGGGUGUGGCUCAGGGGUGGAGCGCUCACCCAGCACGUGCAAGGCCCUGGGUUCGAUCCUCAGCACCAUAU
RNAcentral lists this transfer RNA (72 nucleotides) under Marmota monax (woodchuck). Its description in RNAcentral is "tRNA.Ala". The record is from RNAcentral. Lineage: Eukaryota; Metazoa; Chordata; Mammalia; Rodentia; Sciuridae.